Molecule: ribosomal RNA, 450 nt
Filed under: uncultured bacterium
Lineage: Bacteria
Description: bacterial SSU rRNA
Rfam family: Bacterial small subunit ribosomal RNA
Source: RNAcentral
GUAGGGAAUAUUGGACAAUGGGCGAAAGCCUGAUCCAGCCAUGCCGCGUGUGUGAAGAAGGUCUUCGGAUUGUAAAGCACUUUAAGUUGGGAGGAAGGGCAGUAAGUUAAUACCUUGCUGUUUUGACGUUACCGACAGAAUAAGCACCGGCUAACUUCGUGCCAGCAGCCGCGGUAAUACGAAGGGUGCAAGCGUUAAUCGGAAUUACUGGGCGUAAAGCGCGCGUAGGUGGUUUUGUAAGUUGGAGGUGAAAUCCCCGGGCUCAACCUGGGAACUGCCUCCAAAACUGCAUGACUAGAGUACGGUAGAGGGUAGUGGAAUUUCCUGUGUAGCGGUGAAAUGCGUAGAUAUAGGAAGGAACACCAGUGGCGAAGGCGACUACCUGGACUGAUACUGACACUGAGGUGCGAAAGCGUGGGGAGCAAACAGGAUUAGAAACCCCAGUAGUCC